CGUAGGGGCAAGCGUUGUCCGGAAUCAUUGGGCGUAAAGAGCGUGUAGGCGGCCAGAAAAGUCCGCUGUGAAAACUCGAGGCUCAACUUCGAGCUGUCGGUGGAAACUUUCUGGCUAGAGUCCGGAAGAGGAGAAUGGAAUUCCUGGUGUAGCGGUGAAAUGCGCAGAUAUCAGGAAGAACACCCGUGGCGAAGGCGGUUCUCUGGGACGGUACUGACGCUGAGACGCGAAAGCGUGGGGAGCGAACAGGAUU
This 253-nucleotide ribosomal RNA is filed under the name uncultured bacterium. Its description in RNAcentral is "partial 16S ribosomal RNA". It matches the Rfam family "Bacterial small subunit ribosomal RNA", at positions 526 to 779 of the family's 1533-position model. The record is from RNAcentral.